UUUUCAUUGACGGAGGACUUG
This is a non-coding RNA of Caenorhabditis elegans, 21 nucleotides long. The record is from Ensembl. NCBI's taxonomy places the organism in Eukaryota, Metazoa, Nematoda, Chromadorea, Rhabditida, Rhabditidae.